Molecule: ribosomal RNA, 450 nt
Filed under: uncultured Glomus
Lineage: Eukaryota; Fungi; Glomeromycota; Glomeromycetes; Glomerales; Glomeraceae
Description: SSU rRNA
Rfam family: Eukaryotic small subunit ribosomal RNA
Source: RNAcentral
AGCAGCCGCGGUAAUUCCAGCUUCAAUAGCGUAUAUUAAAGUUGUUGCAGUUAAAAAGCUCGUAGUUGAAUUUCGGGAUUAAUAGGUUGGUCAUGCCCUCGGUAUGUACUGAUUUCAUUGGUUCUCACCUUCUAAGGAAUCAUAAUGUCAUUCGUUUGAUGUUGUGGGGAAUUAGGACUGUUACCUUGAAAAAAUUAGAGUGUUUAAAGCAGGCUAACGCUUGAAUACAUUAGCAUGGAAUAAUGAAAUAGGACAUCCGAUUCUAUUUUGUUGGUUUCUAGGAUCGAUGUAAUGAUUAAUAGGGAUAGUUGGGGGCAUUAGUAUUCAAUUGUCAGAGGUGAAAUUCUUGGAUUUAUGAAGACUAACUACUGCGAAAGCAUUUGUCAAGGAUGUUUUCAUUAAUCAAGAACAAAAGUUAGGAGACCGAAGACGAUCAGAUACUGUCGUAGU